Molecule: ribosomal RNA, 424 nt
Filed under: uncultured bacterium
Lineage: Bacteria
Description: bacterial SSU rRNA
Rfam family: Bacterial small subunit ribosomal RNA
Source: RNAcentral
GAUGAACGCUGGCGGCGUGCCUAAUACAUGCAAGUCGAACGAGGUGCUUUUGUAGCAAUACGAGAGUAUCCUAGUGGCGAACGGGUGAGUAACGCGUUGGUGACCUACCCCAAAGUGUGGGAUAACAGUCCGAAAGGAUUGCUAAUACCGCAUGUGGUCUUCGGAUUUAGAAACUGAUGACUAAAGGAGCAAUUCGCUUUGGGAGGGACCUGCGUCCCAUCAGCUAGUUGGUGAGGUAAUGGCUCACCAAGGCUACGACGGGUAGGGGACCUGAGAGGGUGACCCCCCACAAUGGAACUGAAACACGGUCCAUACACCUACGGGUGGCAGCAGUAGGGAAUAUUGCACAAUGGGCGAAAGCCUGAUGCAGCAACGCCGCGUGUGCGAUGAAGGCCUUCGGGUCGUAAAGCACUUUUCUGGGAGA